This is a long non-coding RNA of Anastrepha obliqua, 1184 nucleotides long. RefSeq lists it as uncharacterized. The transcript is spliced from 4 exons. The record is from RefSeq and is a predicted model, not a curated record. NCBI's taxonomy places the organism in Eukaryota, Metazoa, Arthropoda, Insecta, Diptera, Tephritidae.
CGGCAACACCGUUUCCACUUUGACGCUUUGCCUUGUUAUUAUUCGUUGAAAAUCUUUUAUCUGUUUGUAAACAUUCAAGUCGAUGUGGUAGUUGAUUAUUUGGAGUUGGCUUUCUGCUGCGGAAAACCACCGGUUUGUGAAUUUCCAUACACGUUUUUAGAACAGCGUUUUUGCAAAUAUAAUAGUGACCACCUUUCAUACAAUACAUAAACUACAGUUAGGAAGUUCUGUUAGAAUAUUUGCUAAUAAAUUGUUUUUAAAAGUUUUUAUUUGUAGGACUUCACAACCGAGCAACUGCUGCGGAAGGUGCGUGUUGAAGAGCUAGGUGGCACAACUAUUGCGGUUUUUAGAAACGAAAGCACGUAUGUGCGUAUUUCUACCAUUGUCUCAUGUGGUGCUACGGGCAAUUUCAUAGGUGACUUUGAGCGUUCUGUGUACGAUGGUGCAAAUACCUAGUUAAGUGUUUAACAUGUGACGGUCAUCAUGUGCCUAGUAAUGCUACCUCUGAAAUCAAUUUGACUUCCGAACUGGCUGUCCACGUCGAUACCAAUAUGCUGUACGUAGAUGCAUGCGCAACACCCACACGAGCAAGUCCUCGCGCUUUACGUCGACAAUUACACGUUUUUGAUUUCUGCCUGAAUAAGUGCAGCGUUCCAACACCUAUACGAGCAAGUGCACCCACAUUCCUCAUAUUUCCACUCCGAUUCAUUACUGCGACGCCAUAGAUAACUAGAUGUGAAACUUAUUCAUUUUGAGAGAGAGCGCGCCCAUUAGGACGUUUCAAAACUUGGCAGCACUCACACACUAUGGGAUUUUGAACAGCUGAUAGGUGAAAUGGCAGACUGCCAGAAGAAACGCGCCAAAAAUAACAGACGAAAACAGUUCGUUUUUACUUAAUGGAGAAAGGACGUGUUAAAAUGUUUAUAAUUAUUUGUCUUAAAAUUAAUUCAAUUGAAAUGUAAUAAUUUGAAUUUAAAUGAGUUUGUAGAAUCCAAAGCUCGUUAUAUCCUUUUCGACUUCUACUUUUAGUCUUAUGUACAUAAUGUAAUUUUAUUGAAAACUGUAUGUUGGUUUAUGUAAAUUUUUAUAUGCGUAAAUAUUCUAUGGUUGAAAAGCGUAGGUAAGGGAACUGAAUUUGUGUUUGAGAUAUUUUACAAAAAUUAAAGGUAAUCUGCUUUAACUUA